GGGGAAUAUUGCACAAUGGGGGGAACCCUGAUGCAGCGACGCCGCGUGAAGGAAGAAGGCCUUCGGGUUGUAAACUUCUUUGACCAGGGACGAAUAAAUGACGGUACCUGGAGAACAAGCCACGGCUAACUACGUGCCAGCAGCCGCGGUAAUACGUAGGUGGCGAGCGUUGUCCGGAAUUACUGGGUGUAAAGGGCGUGUAGGCGGGUUCUUAAGUCAGAUGUGAAAUCCCGGGGCUCAACUCCGGAGCUGCAUCUGAAACUGGGGAUCUUGAGUGCUGGAGGGGAAAGUGGAAUUCCUAGUGUAGCGGUGAAAUGCGUAGAGAUUAGGAGGAACACCAGUGGCGAAGGCGGCUUUCUGGACAGCAACUGACGCUGAGGCGCGAAAGCGUGGGGAGCAAAC
Molecule: ribosomal RNA, 402 nt
Filed under: uncultured bacterium
Lineage: Bacteria
Description: bacterial SSU rRNA
Rfam family: Bacterial small subunit ribosomal RNA
Source: RNAcentral